GGCACGAUAGCUCAGGUGGUAGAGCAGAGGACUGAAAAUCCUUGUGUCGGGGGUUCGACUCCCUCUCGUGCCACCC
This 76-nucleotide transfer RNA is filed under the name Bacteroidota bacterium. RNAcentral describes it as "Bacteroidetes bacterium tRNA-Phe". It matches the Rfam family "tRNA". From Rfam's summary of the family: Transfer RNA (tRNA) molecules are approximately 80 nucleotides in length. Their secondary structure includes four short double-helical elements and three loops (D, anti-codon, and T loops). Lineage: Bacteria; Pseudomonadati; Bacteroidota. The record is from RNAcentral.